This 75-nucleotide small RNA is filed under the name Sinorhizobium meliloti 2011. Its description in RNAcentral is "Alpha operon ribosome binding site". The record is from RNAcentral. Lineage: Bacteria; Pseudomonadati; Pseudomonadota; Alphaproteobacteria; Hyphomicrobiales; Rhizobiaceae.
GCACCUAUUGCCUGUAGGCAACUGGAACGCAAGGAGAAUAGACGUGGCACGUAUCGCUGGCGUCAACAUCCCGAC